GAGAGUAGCUGCCAUUUUAUGUCGAUCGUGAAUGAACAUGUGCGUUGCUAAUAAGAUAUUUUGCGGUGUUAUUUGUGGGCGUAACACAUGCAGCCGUGCCUAAUGGGAAAGGGGGGAUGGAACCGGUCGGGAGCAACCCAGGUCUCAAUAUGACUUCCAUCUGCAUCAAGACAUGAGUGUGAUGCCCCUACCAGUUGAGCUCUCUGUGUGUGAGUCCUCCCGGUUUUGACUUUUGCCUGUUUCUGGACUCUGUACCCGCCUGCCUUGACCAUGACCGUGUCUGCCACUCUGUACCUCCUGGACUCUGAUAUGGUUUUGACCUUUUGCCUGUCCACAACCAUUCUCUUGCCUACCCCUUUGGAUUAUUAAACAUUGUAAGAC
This 381-nucleotide long non-coding RNA is filed under the name Salmo salar (Atlantic salmon). RNAcentral's name for it is "lncRNA (ENSSSAG00000099685.1)". Lineage: Eukaryota; Metazoa; Chordata; Actinopteri; Salmoniformes; Salmonidae. The record is from RNAcentral.